ACGUUUUAUUUUGUGUCGUGCAUCUGUGAAUUAACGUCAUUCAAAUCUGGUUAGUAUAAAAGCAAAUCAACUUAAUUUUUGUUGAACAAGUAUUAGGACAUAUUUAUUUUUUAUUCAGUAUUCUAGAAUUUCCCAGUAAUAUGAGUCCAUUGUACCACAUAUAAUUAAUACAUGUAUUCUGUAGAGACGUUUGACAAUACUGUACAUUUAUAUUAUGUUGUCUAGGUUUUCAAAAUCAGAAACGAAGCAAGAAGAACUUUUCUGAGGCUUAAGUGUUGAAGUUCAGUUGUGAUUGUCAUGCCCUAGGAUAAGCUAAUGGAUUGAUGGAGAAGAACGUCUGGAUUCAGAUACAGAAAGUAACAUGGUAGACAUGUACAUAUUUAAAGCAAGUGGAAACCUUUAAAAGAACGAACAACUAAACUAAGAAUUAUGUGCACAUCAUAGGAUAUUGACGUCAAUGGAAACAAAAUGUUUGUACUAGUUGAUCGCAGGAAUAUUGAUGAAAAAGUUAAAAGGUAUGGAUAUAACGAUAGAUGAUUCUAAAUUAGAUUAUUACAACUUGUUACUACAUGUACGUUAAUAUCAUGAAACCCUAAUUCAUAAUGAUAUUGUAUAAACAUUUGAUGAGA
Molecule: long non-coding RNA, 629 nt
Organism: Mercenaria mercenaria
Lineage: Eukaryota; Metazoa; Mollusca; Bivalvia; Venerida; Veneridae
Exons: 3
Source: RefSeq, a predicted model, not a curated record